This 405-nucleotide ribosomal RNA is filed under the name uncultured bacterium. RNAcentral describes it as "partial 16S ribosomal RNA". It matches the Rfam family "Bacterial small subunit ribosomal RNA", at positions 30 to 526 of the family's 1533-position model. The record is from RNAcentral.
AUUGAACGCUGGCGGCAGGCUUAACACAUGCAAGUCGAACGAGUGGCGGACGGGUGAGUAAUGCUUGGGCAUCUAGCUUCUGGAGGGGGAUCACUACGGGUCACUGUAGCUAAUACCGCGUACCAUAGGAUGAGCCCGAGUGGGAUUAGGUAGUUGGUGGGGUAAAGGCUCACCAAGCCGACGAUCUCUAGCUGGUCUGAGUGGAUGACCAGCCACACUGGGACGGAGCCACGGCCCAGACUCCUACGGUAGGCAGCAGUGGGGAAUAGUGCGCAAUGGGGGCAACCUGACGCAGCCAUGCCGCGUGAAUGAAGAAGGCCUUCGGGUUGUAAAGUUCUUUCGGUAGCGAGGCUGUAACUACAGAAGAAGCACCGGCUAACUCCGUGCCAGCAGCCGCGGUAAUUC